UACGGAGGAUGCAAGCGUUAUCCGGAUUCAUUGGGUUUAAAGGGUGCGUAGGCGGGAUAAUAAGUCAGUGGUGAAAGCCUACAGCUUAACUGUAGAACUGCCAUUGAUACUGUUAACCUUGAGUACAUUUGAGGUGGGCGGAAUGUGUAAUGUAGCGGUGAAAUGCUUAGAUAUGACACAGAACACCGAUAGCGAAGGCAGCUCACUAAACUGUAACUGACGCUGAGGCACGAAAGCGUGGGGAUCAAACAGG
This 253-nucleotide ribosomal RNA is filed under the name uncultured bacterium. Its description in RNAcentral is "partial 16S ribosomal RNA". It matches the Rfam family "Bacterial small subunit ribosomal RNA", at positions 524 to 776 of the family's 1533-position model. The record is from RNAcentral.